This 344-nucleotide unclassified non-coding RNA is filed under the name soil metagenome. Its description in RNAcentral is "partial contains 5.8S ribosomal RNA, internal transcribed spacer 2, and large subunit ribosomal RNA". The stretch from base 1 to 118 matches the Rfam family "5.8S ribosomal RNA", at positions 35 to 154 of the family's 154-position model. The record is from RNAcentral.
GAUGAAGAACGUAGCGAAAUGCGAUACGUAAUGUGAAUUGCAAAUUCAGUGAAUCAUCGAGUCUUUGAACGCACAUUGCGCCCCUGGUAUUCCGGGGGGCAUGCCUGUCCGAGCGUCAUUGCUGCCCUCAAGCACGGCUUGUGUGUUGGGCCCCGUCCUCCGAUCCCGGGGGACGGGCCCGAAAGGCAGCGGCGGCACCGCGUCCGGUCCUCGAGCGUAUGGGGCUUUGUCACCCGCUCUGUAGGCCCGGCCGGCGCUUGCCGAUCAACCCAAAUUUUUAUCCAGGUUGACCUCGGAUCAGGUAGGGAUACCCGCUGAACUUAAGCAUAUCAAUAAGCGGAGGA